This 492-nucleotide ribosomal RNA is filed under the name uncultured bacterium. RNAcentral's name for it is "partial 16S ribosomal RNA". It matches the Rfam family "Bacterial small subunit ribosomal RNA", at positions 29 to 507 of the family's 1533-position model. The record is from RNAcentral.
AGUGAACGCUGGCGGUAGGCCUAACACAUGCAAGUCGAACGGCAGCACAGUAAGAUCUUGCUCUUAUGGGUGGCGAGUGGCGUACGGGUGAGGUAUACAUCGGAAUCUACUUUUUCGUGGGGGAUAACGUAGGGAAACUUACGCUCAUACCGCAUACGACCUACGGGUGAAAGCAGGGGAUCUUCGGACCUUGCGCGAUUGAAUGAGCCGAUGUCGGAUUAGCUAGUUGGCGGGGUAAAGGCCCACCAAGGCGACGAUCCGUAGCUGGUCUGAGAGGAUGAUCAGCCACACUGGAACUGAGACACGGUCCAGACUCCUAAGGGAGGCAGCAGUGGGGAAUAUUGGACAAUGGGCGCAAGCAUGAUCCAGCCAGACCGCGUGGGUGAAGAAGGCCUUCGGGUUGUAAAGCCCUUUUGUUGGGAAAGAAAAGCAGCAGGUUAAUACCACGCUGUUCUGACGGUACCCAAAGAAUAAGCACCGGCUAACUUCGUG